GGCUGCCGUGGCACCUCACGGAUCCCAAGAUAGUCCGGCGAGCGUCCAGUACCCGGGCGCGCUAAGGCGUCGCAGCACUAGGAGGUCGUGCCCGCACGGCGGCGGUAGUUCUGCUUGGCCGCGGCGGAAGCCAGCGACAGUAGCGUCCAUCGCCGUCGUACAUGCGUAGUCCUCGCCCGCGGAGAAGAAAGCACGAGAGCGAUCUAGGAGGGUCGUCGUUCAGUGGGAGAGGUGGUGCGGGAAAAGGACGCCUGAUGCCCUCAGUUUACGAUCGACCGGGAACUAGACUUACUUGUCUGGACGUUGGCCACGAACUAUGCCUUCGUACUUAUCACGUUCUCGAUCGUUUCAGUGGCUAGCGGUAUGUCUUACGGUUGCACCCUUCCACCUUCGUGUUUAUCUUCGUCACACUUCGACGAUAAAAAAGGAGCGGCCGAUGUCUAGUUCGCAGAACCAGUCGCUACACAAUGUAUGCAAUAAAGAGGUCGUGUUCAAGAGGGUUAGUCGUGUCUAAACCGCUGCGGGGGGAAAGCAACAGGAGAGCUACCGCCCUAAUGAAGGCAGAGACCACGUCGCUGCCGCAAGCCACUAACAAAGAGCGGAAGUCUUCUAUUCGAGAGUUUCGUGUUCUGAGAGAAGUCGAAUGACUUUUGAUGAAUGACUUUUGAAAGAAUGCGUGUUUUGAAGAACGCCUAUACAUUUGUACUUGACUGUCCUGUUGAAGUAUUAGAACGUGCAAAAAUUGAAUCCUGGAUGAUAAACAGAGCGGAGUAAGUAGAUGUACGCUCAGGAGAACUCUCAGUUAAUUACUGACGUAUACGAAACUAAACUAAGGGUGACUGAUUACCAAAGUACUGGACACAAAGAAAAGAGUAUAACCGACCAACGUACUGUUAACCACAAUCACUGAAGGAAAGCAAAUUCAAACUAAAUCAUAAACAUCCCUACGUAGACAUACUCCUAAGAGUAGUAAUUAACCACCCAACCAAAUCGUUUUUUUUACUGUUCACACGUACGUUGUUACCCACCUGAUACGUCUUAAAAAAGAUAUAAAAUAAAUACCGGUUACUCCUGACCACUGCCAACGAUGACUG
Molecule: ribosomal RNA, 1094 nt
Filed under: Triticum aestivum (bread wheat)
Lineage: Eukaryota; Viridiplantae; Streptophyta; Magnoliopsida; Poales; Poaceae
Description: partial small subunit ribosomal RNA
Source: RNAcentral